UGUGUUAGUGGAAGCGUCUGGAAAGGCGCGCGAUACAGGGUGACAGCCCCGUACACAAAAAUGCACAUGCUGUGAGCUCGAUGAGUAGGGCGGGACACGUGGUAUCCUGUCUGAAUAUGGGGGGACCAUCCUCCAAGGCUAAAUACUCCUGACUGACCGAUAGUGAACCAGUACCGUGAGGGAAAGGCGAAAAGAACCCCGGCGAGGGGAGUGAAAAAGAACCUGAAACCGUGUACGUACAAGCAGUGGGAGCACGCUUAGGCGUGUGACUGCGUACCUUUUGUAUAAUGGGUCAGCGACUUAUAUUCUGUAGCAAGGUUAACCGAAUAGGGGAGCCGAAGGGAAACCGAGUCUUAACUGGGCGUUAAGUUGCAGGGUAUAGACCCGAAACCCGGUGAUCUAGCCAUGGGCAGGUUGAAGGUUGGGUAACACUAACUGGAGGACCGAACCGACUAAUGUUGAAAAAUUAGCGGAUGACUUGUGGCUGGGGGUGAAAGGCCAAUCAAACCGGGAGAUAGCUGGUUCUCCCCGAAAGCUAUUUAGGUAGCGCCUCGUGAAUUCAUCUCCGGGGGUAGAGCACUGUUUCGGCAAGGGGGUCAUCCCGACUUACCAACCCGAUGCAAACUGCGAAUACCGGAGAAUGUUAUCACGGGAGACACACGGCGGGUGCUAACGUCCGUCGUGAAGAGGGAAACAACCCAGACCGCCAGCUAAGGUCCCAAAGUCAUGGUUAAGUGGGAAACGAUGUGGGAAGGCCCAGACAGCCAGGAUGUUGGCUUAGAAGCAGCCAUCAUUUAAAGAAAGCGUAAUAGCUCACUGGUCGAGUCGGCCUGCGCGGAAGAUGUAACGGGGCUAAACCAUGCACCGAAGCUGCGGCAGCGACGCUGAUGCGUUGUUGGGUAGGGGAGCGUUCUGUAAGCCUGCGAAGGUGUGCUGUGAGGCAUGCUGGAGGUAUCAGAAGUGCGAAUGCUGACAUAAGUAACGAUAAAGCGGGUGAAAAGCCCGCUCGCCGGAAGACCAAGGGUUCCUGUCCAACGUUAAUCGGGGCAGGGUGAGUCGACCCCUAAGGCGAGGCCGAAAGGCGUAGUCGAUGGGAAACAGGUUAAUAUUCCUGUACUUGGUGUUACUGCGAAGGGGGGACGGAGAAGGCUAUGUUGGCCGGGCGACGGUUGUCCCGGUUUAAGCGUGUAGGCUGGUUUUCCAGGCAAAUCCGGAAAAUCAAGGCUGAGGCGUGAUGACGAGGCACUACGGUGCUGAAGCAACAAAUGCCCUGCUUCCAGGAAAAGCCUCUAAGCAUCAGGUAACAUCAAAUCGUACCCCAAACCGACACAGGUGGUCAGGUAGAGAAUACCAAGGCGCUUGAGAGAACUCGGGUGAAGGAACUAGGCAAAAUGGUGCCGUAACUUCGGGAGAA
RNAcentral lists this ribosomal RNA (1414 nucleotides) under Escherichia coli. RNAcentral's name for it is "partial 23S ribosomal RNA". It matches the Rfam family "Bacterial large subunit ribosomal RNA", at positions 325 to 1744 of the family's 2925-position model. The record is from RNAcentral. Lineage: Bacteria; Pseudomonadati; Pseudomonadota; Gammaproteobacteria; Enterobacterales; Enterobacteriaceae.